Long non-coding RNA from Solanum verrucosum, 423 nucleotides. RefSeq lists it as uncharacterized. The record is from RefSeq and is a predicted model, not a curated record. The transcript has 3 exons. NCBI's taxonomy places the organism in Eukaryota, Viridiplantae, Streptophyta, Magnoliopsida, Solanales, Solanaceae.
CAUGAAUCUCCAACUUUGUAAUAGAUUGGUUUUCAAGCUUAGAUUGAUAUCUAAUAAGUUUUGCACUUGCAGCAAAGCCCAUACCUGCAGUUACUGAGUUUGUUGCACAGUUACAGAUCUUGGAGCUGUUGGACAAUGCUAUUUUUACUGCUGGCUACAAGGCUGUGUUGCACAUUCAUGCUAUUGUUGAGGAAUGUGAGAUGUUGAACUGAUGCAGCAGAUUGAUCUCAAGAAAAGAAGCCCAUGAAGAAAAAACCUUUGUUUGUAAAGAACGGAGCAAUCGGUCUAUGUCGUGUUCAGGUGAAUAAUCUGAUUUGUAUCGAGAAGUUCUCUGAUUUUCCACAACUUGGGCGGUUCACUCUUCGCAGUGAAGGUAAAGAACCAUUUUGCCUUGUAAGCUUGCCAUGCUUUAAUUUAUACACU